RNAcentral lists this long non-coding RNA (608 nucleotides) under Elaeis guineensis (African oil palm). RNAcentral's name for it is "long non-coding RNA (EGUI_LNC036886)". The record is from RNAcentral. Lineage: Eukaryota; Viridiplantae; Streptophyta; Magnoliopsida; Arecales; Arecaceae.
UUCAUGAUACACCCUUCACCAAGGGCUGUAGUAAUUUGGUCACUACUUCUAUCAAUGAAGACACAAAAUGAUUAUCCAUAAUCAAUUUAAUCAUGUCUUUUCUUUUUCUUAAAAAGAUAUUUCAUGAUCAGAGUUUCAUCUCUCACCAUCUUAGGACAACCUUCCAACAUAACCUAUGUUAUGCUAGGACAAUCUUAUGUCAGAAUAUGAUUUGAUUAACCCAAUUGCUUAUCAAUUAGAUCUCUAAUCUAAAAUCUCAGAUCCAAUUUAAAUUUUAAAUGUAUAGUUAGGGCUUUAUCUUAUAACAUCCUAGACAACCUUCCAACACAAUCUAAGUUAUGCCAGGACAACUUUAUAUCACGAUGUGAUUCGACUAAUCCAAGUGCUUAUCAAUUAUAAUUUUUGAUUUUUUAUUAAAAUUUUUAAUCUAAUGUUUUAGAUCUCAUCUAAAUUUUAGAUUAAAAAAAAUAUAAAAAAUCAAAUUCAAAUAAAAUAAUAAAUUAGAUCUAAUCUAACAAUCAUGCUUAUUUGAAAACAUAAAAUUCAGAUCACAUUUAAACUUCAUGUACAAUUGAUAAACAUGAAUUUUCAGAUCCAAUCUGAAACAA